GAUGAACGCUGGCGGCGUGCCUAAUACAUGCAAGUCGAGCGAACAGAUGAGGAGCUUGCUCCUCUGACGUUAGCGGCGGACGGGUGAGUAACACGUGGAUAACCUACCUAUAAGACUGGGAUAACUUCGGGAAACCGGAGCUAAUACCGGAUAAUAUAUUGAACCGCAUGGUUCAAUAGUGAAAGACGGUUUUGCUGUCACUUAUAGAUGGAUCCGCGCCGCAUUAGCUAGUUGGUAAGGUAACGACUUACCAAGGCAACGAUGCGUAGCCGACCUGAGAGGGUGAUCGGCCACACUGGAACUGAGACACGGUCCAGACUCCUACGGGAGGCAGCAGUAGGGAAUCUUCCGCAAUGGGCGAAAGCCUGACGGAGCAACGCCGCGUGAGUGAUGAAGGUCUUCGGAUCGUAAAACUCUGUUAUUGGGGAAGAACAAAUGUGUAAGUAACUAUGCACGUCUUGACGGUACCUAAUCAGAAAGCCACGGCUAACUACGUG
RNAcentral lists this ribosomal RNA (497 nucleotides) under uncultured bacterium. Its description in RNAcentral is "partial 16S ribosomal RNA". It matches the Rfam family "Bacterial small subunit ribosomal RNA", at positions 28 to 507 of the family's 1533-position model. The record is from RNAcentral.